CUGCUCCGGGGGGAGGGGGGGGGGGCGGAAACUCGGGCCCCUCGCUUUACUCCUCUAACUAAUUUUAUAAAUGUGCAACUGAAGAAACGCAGGCGUUUCCAUAGCAGGGUUAGCGAGCGUGAGAGCUGGCUGGGAACGCAUCGGGUUUAUUCAGUCUCCCCGUUCCACCCGUGCGGGGCAGUACGCUGCCGGCCCUGCUUCCCCGCGCCGUCCUCGGUGCGAGUCCUGCCGUCACACGCUGCAGCCGAGUCUCUGAUCGUUCCAGACCCACGUCAAUCCCAAGUUCGAAGGUAUGCAAGAUGUCUUCAACUGUUUUUACUCAAAGCAGCUGAGAAGAACUGGAAUUCAAGAUGAGAACCAACAAGGUGUACAAGCUCGUCAUACAUAAGAAGGGUUUUGGAGGCAGUGAUGAUGAACUGGUGGUAAAUCCUAAAGUAUUUCUUCAAAUCAAGUUGGGAGAUGUUGUGGAAAUUGCACAUCCCAAUGAUGAAUACAGUCCCCUGCUUCUACAAGUGAAGUCACUUAAGGAAGAUUUGCAGAAAGAAACUAUAAGUGUGGAUCAGACAGUCGCACAAGUGUUCCGGCUGCGGCCAUACCAGGAUGUCCAUGUGAAUGUUGUUGACCCAAAGGAGGUGACCUUGGACUUGGUGGAGCUGACUUUUAAAGAUCAGUAUAUUGGGCGUGGGGAUAUGUGGCGACUGAAGAAAAGUUUGGUCAGCACAUGUGCAUAUGUCACCCAGAAAGUUGAAUUUGCAGGUAUCAGGGCGCAGGCAGGUGAACUGUGGGUAAAGAGUGAGAAAGUCACUUGUGGAUACAUCAGUGAGGACACUCGGGUAGUCUUCCGCUCCACUUCUGCCAUGGUUUAUAUUUUUAUCCAGAUGAGCUGUGAAAUGUGGGAUUUUGAUAUUUAUGGGGACCUAUACUUUGAGAAAGCUGUGAACGGUUUCCUUGCUGACCUCUUCACAAAAUGGAAGGAGAAGAAUUGCAGCCAUGAAGUGACAGUGGUUCUAUUUUCUAGAACAUUUUAUGAAGCAAAAUCUAUAGAUGAGUUUCCUGAAUCACAUCGUGCGUCAAUUCGGCAGGAUCAUGAGGGAAGAUUUUAUGAAGAUUUUUACAAAGUUGUAGUUCAGAAUGAGAGACGAGAAGAGUGGACCUCAUUGCUUGUGACCAUUAAAAAGCUUUUCAUCCAGUAUCCUGUGUUAGUACGACUAGAGCAAGCAGAGGGCUUCCCUCCAGGUUACAAUUCUACCUCAGCACAAGGGAACUACCUGGAGGCCAUAAAUCUUUCAUUCAAUGUGUUUGACAAGCAUUACAUAAACCGGAACUUUGAUCGGACUGGCCAGAUGUCUGUGGUUAUCACACCAGGUGUGGGUGUAUUUGAAGUUGAUCGACUCCUUAUGAUUCUAACCAAACAGCGGAUGAUAGACAAUGGGAUAGGUGUGGACUUGGUGUGCAUGGGAGAACAACCACUGCAUGCUGUACCACUCUUUAAGCUCCAUAAUCGCUGUGGACCUGGCGACUCCAGAUUGGGUGAUGACUACAAUAUUCCACAUUGGAUAAACCAUAGUUUCUACACAUCCAAAAGCCAGCUCCUGUGUAAUAGUUUCACUCCACGGAUCAAGCUGGCAGGAAGGAAGCCACUGACUGAGAAAGCAAAAAAUAACCGAGAUGCCUCAUUAGGGGCUCCAAAAGAUGCUGAGAAUGCCCUGCCUAUCCAGGUAGAUUAUGAUGGCUAUGAUGCCCAGGUGUUCAGACUGCCAGGCCCAUCCAGAGCCCAGCGCUGUACUACUUUCAGCAGGUCUGUGAGGGAGAGAGAAAGUCGUACCAGAAAGAGCUCUAGUUCCUAUGACGUCUCAUGCAGCCCUUCUCUGCAGAGCCGUACGCUGCCCCCAGAGGAGGUGAGGAGCCAGGCUUCUGAUGACAGCUCACUGGGCAAGAUGUCCAACAUCCUGAUGAUCCCACGGCCUCAUCUGCACCAGUGUGAAGUCAGCAGCUCUUUGGGCUAUACCAGCACCAGAGAUGUCCUUGAGAACAUGCUGGAGUCUCAGCAACGUGACUCCAGUGCCCCUGGGAGGUUCCAUGUUGGCAGUGCAGAAUCCAUGCUGCACAUUCGGCCUGGGGGAUAUACACCCCAGCGAGCACUGAUAAACCCAUUUGCCCCGUCUCGCAUGCCCAUGAAACUUACAUCUAACAGGAGGCGCUGGAUGCACACUUUUCCUGUGGGUCCAUCAGGAGAAGCUAUCCAGAUCCAUCAUCAAACCCGUCAGAAUAUGGCAGAAAUGCAGGGCAAUGGGCAGCAGGAUUUGACGCAUUCCUCUGCUGAGCUGCUGGAACUGGCUUACCACGAGGCAACUGGCAGGCAUAUCAGCUCUCGGCAUCCAGGUGACAGUGCCUCUUUCCUGAGCUUCAGCGGAACAGAAGAGUACUCUAAUGGUCUGGCUGGCAGCAAUGGUGCAGGGAUGAAUCUCAAAACUCAGAACAAGGAUUCCUUGGAAGAUGCUGUCUCUAACUCUCCGGAUCCAAUUCUGACGCUGUCUGCUCCCCCCGUAGUGCCAGGCUUCUGUUGUACAGUUGGAGUGGACUGGAAAUCUCUCACUACUCCGGCAUGUCUCCCUCUUACUACGGACUACUUCCCUGACCGUCAGAGUCUGCAGAAUGAUUACACUGAGGGUUGCUAUGAUCUCCUCCCAGAAGCUGACAUUGACAGGAGAGAUGAGGAAGGAGUGCAGAUGACAGCCCAACAGGUGUUUGAGGAGUUUAUUUGUCAGCGUCUCAUGCAAGGCUAUCAAAUUAUUGUGCAAUCCAAACCACAGAAACCAGCCACAACUGUGCCACCCCCGCUCAGCAGCAGUCCCCUUUACAGUCGAGGUCUUGUAUCAAGAAAUCGACCUGAGGAAGAAGAUCAGUACUGGCUGAGUAUGGGCCGUACUUUCCACAAAGUAACACUAAAAGACAAAAUAAUUACUGUGACUCGAUACCUGCCAAAGUAUCCAUACGAAUCUGCUCAGAUAAACUACACUUACAGCUUGUGCCCGUCACACUCUGACUCUGAAUUUGUCUCUUGCUGGGUAGAAUUUUCCCAUGAGAGACUAGAAGAGUACAAGUGGAAUUACUUGGAUCAGUAUAUCUGCUCUGCUGGUUCUGAGGAUUUCAGCCUUAUUGAGUCACUGAAAUUUUGGAGGACCCGCUUUCUGCUUCUGCCUGCCUGCAUCAGUGCCACAAAGCGCAUUAUGGAAGGAGAAGUGCACUGCGAUGUGUACGGUGACAAGCCCCGUUCUGAUGAGGAGGAGUGGCAGCUCCUAGAUGGAUUCAUUCGCUUUGUGGAGGGUUUGAACCGCAUUCGUCGACGCCAUCGAUCUGAUCGAAUGAUUCGAAAAGGGUCUGCCAUGAAAGGCUUGCAGAUUGCUGGUCCAAUUCCCACCCACUCUCUGGAGCAGUCUGGGCCUCCCAUUGGGAAGAAAGGAACCUCAGCACUCUCAGCUCUGCUGCAGAUGGAAGCCAGUCAGAAGACACUGGGGGAGCAGCAAGCAGCAAUGCUUUCUGGGAAGAGCUCUGGGCAGCCUUCGGAGAGUGGGAGCAUUGCUAUCACACCUACCUAUAUGGACAGCCCUCGUAAGGAUGGGGCCUUCUUUAUGGAUUUUGUUCGCAGCCCACGUACAGCUUCAACCUUCUACUCACAGGUCUCUAUAGAUCAAUCAGUUCCUGCAACCUCCGAUGGCAACACAUUGAUAACCAUGGGGCAGUUACCUGAUAGGAGCAACACACAGACCUUGGGAAGUUCCCAGAAUGUUGCAGACCAAGGAUAUAUCACAGCUGGUGUUGCAGAGGGCAGCUCUCAGCAGUGUUCAGCAAGCACUCUGACUUCCUCCUCCACCUUGAUAGAGAUUCUUGAAGCCAUGAAACACCCCACCACAGGGAUCCAGCUGCUCUCUGAACAGAAGGGCCUCUCUCCAUACUGUUUCAUCAGUGCAGAAGUUGUACACUGGCUGGUGAAUAAUGUGGAAGGUGUGCAAACCCAAGCCAUGGCAAUUGACAUAAUGCAGAAAAUGCUAGAAGAGCAGCUUAUUGUCCAUGCAUCUGGAGAAGCUUUACGAACCUUUAUUUAUGGCUUUUAUUUUUACAAGAUUGUUGUGGACAAAGAACCAGACCGAGUGGGCAUGCAGCAGCCUGCCAUGUGGCACACAGCUGCCAUGGAUGACUUCUCCGCCUUCCAGAGGAAAUGGUUUGAGGUGGCGUUUGUGGCAGAAGAGCUCCUGCACUCGGAAAUCCCAGCAUUUUUCCUGCCCUGGCUUCCCAGCCGCCCAGCCUCCUAUGCAAGUAGGCACAGUUCCUUUAGCCGCAGUUUCGGAGGACGGAGCCAGGCAGCUGCACUAUUAGAUCCAGAGAGACUCUUCACAACCUGUGACAAGCAUGGAGUUGUGAUAAGUUGUGAGAACAGCAAAGCAACCAAACUGUACUUUAAAUGACACAUCUAACUGCUUCUUAGUGGCAAAAGCCACAGUGAGAUCCAGAUGUGUUAGAAGUUUUCUGUGAUGUGAUGGACGUUUCUUGGCUAAUCUGAUCCAGGCAUAGCCAGACUCCUUAUAUUUAAGUCUGGGAAGCACAGCUACAAAUGAUCCCUGCAGUGUGGAAGCAUUAGGGUUUGCAUAUGGAAGAUCUUGCUGCUGGCCAAGAUACCAUUACAAUAACUAAAGUUCUGUAAUGUGUGAAGUAUAACACUGACUGCCACUAACAGCCCGUGAAACAUACUGGCUGCAUGACUGACUGUGUUGCUUUGUCAGCUUUUUGUUGCAUUUCCAGGCCAGCCUGAGUCACUUGCUUUUUUUCUUCUUUCCCUGUUUAAAAUUACGAGAAAAAUCAUUGCUAUGGAACUGCAACUUCAGAUUUACUUAGAUGCAUCUUUUAAAGGCCUAUCAAUUAAGCAUAAAAAGAAAAUUCUGCUGUUCUCCUGUUUUGUAUAUUUGACCUGCUGAAGAAAAGUGACUUACUGCUGGUGUAGUAUCUCUUAAACCUGAAGUUACAGUAAUCCUUGUGUAUUUCUGAAAGCCUUGUUGGAAGAGGAACAGCAUCAGAAAGUGUUAAGGGAUAGGAAGUCUGAACUAGUGGUUAAUUCCCUGAAGCCAACAUAUGCAGGAUGUUUUUCCCUGUCACACGAUAAAUCCAUUGCCUUGGCUAGUAUCCAACCUCAUUAGGUCAAUGAUUGGCCAGAGCUGAUGCCUGAACAUAGGCUGGCAUGAAAGUAUUGUGAUGGCUGGAGGUGCUUGGGCCAGAUCUUGUUCCUGCUUUGAUCUCUUACUCACUGUUUAGCCCAAGAAAACCACUUUACUUUUCUACGUCUUUCCACUUUUGUGAGAUGAGAAGACUGAGACUCCAUAAGCUUGCACCUAGGGAAAUGGGCAAAGAAAGAAGUGUGCUUUAGUGCCCCUCUCGCCUUUUCUUUAAUGCCAGUCAGGAAAGAGUGUAUUUCUUCAGCAUGUGAUGUAGUUACACACCCGUGUAGCCCUCCUUUUUCAUUUCAGUUGGAAUUAUGUCCAUUCUGCUAUUUAACUAAUUAGCAGUCCUUGGAUGAAUGAAAAAUGCCUCCAGAUUCCUCACAUGCGGUCUGCUUAUUCCAGGAAUAAUAGUUUCUUAGAGAAAAAUCCAGUGUGGAACCUUUUUCUUACAAAGGAACUGGUUUAAUUGAUGUUUCUGUGCUGUCCCUCUUCUAAACAGUAUUCCAAAAAAAACUUUAGCAGUUCAUCUGAGGCAAGGAGCUUUACUAAACCCAGAUGACCUCUGGUCCACGUGACUUCAUUUGUUCCUCUCUUGGCUUUGAUUUGGUUGUGGUUUUUAUUUCUUCCUCUCCCCACCUUCCCUAAAUGUCAGGCUGUGACAUAAAAUUGCAUGCAAGCAUUGGGAGCUCUGGAACAAGCUCCACGUAUCUCUAAAAUCUUUAUCCCUCCGAAUACCCCUAUCACUUGCCCAGUGAUUGUCCCCUUUCCCUUCCCAGUGGAAGUCUGACCUGUGAUAUACCUAAUCGUGUCCCUUUUGAUUUAUAGCAAUGCAUGCACUAGCAAUUGUAGCGUAGUCUGUGACUGGAGAAUAACCUGCCUGCUCCUCUCCGAUUUACUCAAUAAAUCAUUAGUUAAAUACUCAUUGGUACAAGACAAUUGGGAAGCAGCUGCUACAGUGCCUGAGCAACGGACAGUGACGCUUGAUGUGGAUGUGAAUAACCGCACUGACCGUUUGGAGU
Molecule: RNA transcript, 6232 nt
Organism: Harpia harpyja (harpy eagle)
Lineage: Eukaryota; Metazoa; Chordata; Aves; Accipitriformes; Accipitridae
Gene: DEPDC5
Gene name: DEP domain containing 5, GATOR1 subcomplex subunit
Exons: 40
Source: RefSeq, a predicted model, not a curated record